AAAUAUAUUUUAAUUUCAAUUAUUGCGAGUGUUGUGGCUUAGAAACAAUUAGGCAGUUAAGAAUAAACAAGGCUCGGGCACUAUCAAACCGUUUUCCUAAAAAGCAAAAAGCUGCUUCUGCUGCAUCACAAGAUUUAUUUGAUGACUUUCAGGUUGAUAACGAAGAGUUGACGCUAAUCGAGGAUUCAUUGAUGAUUGAUGAUGCUUCUUCGGACAACAAGAAAAAA
Ostrinia furnacalis (Asian corn borer) is the source of this 227-nucleotide long non-coding RNA. RefSeq lists it as uncharacterized. The transcript is spliced from 2 exons. The record is from RefSeq and is a predicted model, not a curated record. NCBI's taxonomy places the organism in Eukaryota, Metazoa, Arthropoda, Insecta, Lepidoptera, Crambidae.